AAAGAACUGACUCAUUUGAAAAGACCCUGAUGCUGGGAAAGGUUGAGGGCUGGAGGAGAAGAGGAUGACAGAGGAUGAGAUGGUUGUAUGGAAUCACCAACUCAACGGAUAUGAGUUUGGAUUUUAAUUACCUGGAGAGAAAGCAGAGAGACGACAAAGGAGGAGCUCGAGGAAAGUCUGAUCAAGAGGUUAUGUCUGCACUUCUCCUCAGUGAGAGAAAACAUCAAAUCACAUGGUGGUACUUGUGUGUAAAGUUGUGAUUGGGACUGGCCACAGCAUGGACAUUAACAAGCCUCUCUAAAAAAUAACUCAAGCUUCAGGGUCAUAGGUUGUAGGCUGGCAUACAGAAAUAGGAUCCAGCUGUCUACCAAUCCAAAACACUUCCUUAGCAAUGGUUCAACUUUGAAAAUAAGAAAGUAGGUUGCCUAGUUUUCACAUUGCUAAAUAAAAAUCCCUCUUUGGAAGGCAUCCUGAUCUUGAUUGGCAAAGUGAAGAUGAAAUAACAAGAGGACAUUAACCAGCUUCCUCCCAAGACCUGAGAAACACAAAGAAAAUUUGUAAUUAUUCAUCCAUCUAGCCUACCUCCCAUUUACUGAGCAUCUCUUAAAGGUGAAGCACUGAGCCAGAUACAUGGUUGUGAAUAAGAUAUCACCUGGGCUGACUGAAGAUGGAGGCCACGGGAACAUUUAGUUCUACCCUAAGCUAAUCCUUGGGGCUUCCCAGGUGGCUCAGUCGGUAAAGAAUCCACCUGCAAUGCAGGAGACCCAGAUUCAAUUCAUGGAUCCAGAAGAUCUUCUGGAGAAGUGAAUAGCUACCCACGCCAAUAUUCUUGCCUGGAGAAUUUCAUGGACAGAGGAGCCUGGCAGGCUACAGUCCAUGGGACUGUGAAAGUGUCAGACACGACUUAGCAACUAAAUCGCGACCAAGCUAAUCCUUACCUCACAUUCACUUCACUCGAAGGGCAUCUUCUUGGGGCUCAGAAAUCACUCUGGAAAAAACACUGAAAGAGGAUUUGGUUCUUGCAAGUUGUAUGC
Molecule: long non-coding RNA, 1034 nt
Organism: Bos taurus (domestic cattle)
Lineage: Eukaryota; Metazoa; Chordata; Mammalia; Artiodactyla; Bovidae
Source: Ensembl